AACUGUUGGGCCCUGACAUGUGCCUGAGGCCUAGUGCAACUUCCUGAUCUUGACUAGAAGUAGAUCCAUCGAGCUACUUCCAGAUAGCAAUGACUCAGCAAGGCCAGGCCUGAAACUGCCUCUACCUAGAUACAGCCAACGUGGCAUCAUGCCAUUGGUCCAACCUUGUUACCACCCAUCACAUCACCUCAGUCCCCGCCUCCUUUCCCGCCCCUUCCACACGCCCUAUAUAAGCGGCUGCUUGUCACAAUAAAGUUGAGUUCCUGCUUCGACAGACUCCCGGCUCCCUGUGUGGAAGCUCACCAUCCUGCUCAGCCCCUGGGACAAGAUCGGGCUGGCCCCGAUCUUCCCUCAACUGCGACUGCCGGAGGACCCGGCAGAUUGGUGCCCCGUGUGAGGAACUCGGCUCCCAACACAAAGAUCACUGACGGGCCUGUCGGUCUGCGGGAGAAGUGCUGCUUUUAUGCCAACAGAUCUGGGAUCGUGCAAAACAAGAUCAAAACACCCCAAGAAGAUCUAGAAAAGAAAAGAAAGGA
Nycticebus coucang (slow loris) is the source of this 536-nucleotide long non-coding RNA. RefSeq lists it as uncharacterized. The transcript has 2 exons. NCBI's taxonomy places the organism in Eukaryota, Metazoa, Chordata, Mammalia, Primates, Lorisidae. The record is from RefSeq and is a predicted model, not a curated record.